This 818-nucleotide long non-coding RNA is filed under the name Homo sapiens (human). Its description in RNAcentral is "HSALNT0099260". Lineage: Eukaryota; Metazoa; Chordata; Mammalia; Primates; Hominidae. The record is from RNAcentral.
CUGUUAGAAUGGAGGUGGUGAUGGCCUGCCUGCCACAGGGGUCAGAAACCACAGGGUCCCUCCCACCCCAGGCUGAGGUCUUCCUCCUGUUGACUUCGGCGCCCACUGGGCUUGGGGCUUGACUCCAGUAGAGAUCUUCUGUCUGGCUCUGUUGUGGGCAGAGAGUCCGGAUCAGAUGGUCCAGGUGGACCAUGGCUCAGGCUGUUCUCUUGCAAUUCUGGUUUUCAGCAGUCGCCUCUUAAAACAGUUCCAUUUCAUUGCACUAUGAUCUCGACAAAUACGUCUGCUGAUGUGGCGGCUCUUUUCAGGUUCCCAGAAAAAUCAUAAAGGUUGGAAGCAUAUUGUUAACAUUCUUGGUUGUCAGGUGUGUCACCCUCAUGCAGAUGCUGGCCCACGAGUGAGACGGAGGGUGGAGUGGACUGUACUGGUUUUGCACAGGAGAAGUUAUAGGAGAGUGCUAUAAGUUGGCUCUGUGAUAUGAACAUUUCUAAGCAUAUUUUUCAGAACCAGUGAGUUUUGUUUUUCUACCUUGGAUUUCAUGACAAUUCAGCGAACCUCUGGCUGGCUUCUGUGAAGCCCCUCGCCCUGUCAUGCUGGGCUUCCUCACUGGCUUUGUGGGGCUGUCCAGGUGGAGGGAGCCUCCCGCGUGGGAGGGAGCUGCUCUACCCGCCACUCGCCACCCCACCGCCAACUCUUCCUCUGCCUUUUCCCAGUCCUGUCCCUUCCUGAGCCCCUUCAGAAACUCCUGUGUCUUUGAUUUCUCAUGUGCCUCCCCUUUUCUUGAAUGUGCUUCUUCAUUCAACUUAUUUAAAAUAAAA